GUUCCUGCUCUUCAUCUUGAUAGUUGCCGGAUGGUCUUCAACAAUACUUUUGAAGAAUCAUUAAUACCGUAAAAGAUCGUAAAACAAGGUGAAGAUGGUCCCUAUUUUGGACUUAAGCAGUACUAGUACUUAACGUAUAAUACUGCAAUGUCACUAUAUUUAAAUCUAGUCAUACUGAAAAAAUCACCAAAGUCUAAUCACAAUACAAGACAAGAACAGACAGACAGAUACGGUAUUGAUAAUUAUGAGAAUUACGAUUUUUGCUUUAUCCUACAUAUCGGUCUUUUAAUGUUGUCUCUAAUACCUAAAAGUCUUAAUUACAACGAAUCUUUGUUUUUGCUUUGGGACCUGAUUGUCGAAAAAAAUAUCUAAAAAUUAAUUAAGCCGUUUCAAUGCAAGAAAGAGUCUGGGAAACGCUCAGAAUGCACGAUUUUGCGUUAUUUUUCUCAGAGCUUCUUCCCCCAGACCACUCACCCAAAAUUUUGCCUCACUAUUAAAAGAGGCUAGUUACGGCCC
RNAcentral lists this long non-coding RNA (516 nucleotides) under Mytilus galloprovincialis (Mediterranean mussel). Lineage: Eukaryota; Metazoa; Mollusca; Bivalvia; Mytilida; Mytilidae. The record is from RNAcentral.